GCACACACACACACACACACACACAUCUAUCUAUCUAUCUAUCUAUCUAUCAUCUAUCUAUCAUCAUCAUCUAGCUAUAGUGUGUGUGUGUGUGUGUGUGUGUGUGUGU
RNAcentral lists this microRNA precursor (109 nucleotides) under Podarcis lilfordi (Lilford's wall lizard). The record is from RNAcentral. Lineage: Eukaryota; Metazoa; Chordata; Lepidosauria; Squamata; Lacertidae.